Molecule: ribosomal RNA, 1382 nt
Filed under: uncultured bacterium
Lineage: Bacteria
Description: bacterial SSU rRNA
Rfam family: Bacterial small subunit ribosomal RNA
Source: RNAcentral
CCUGGCUCAGGAUGAACGCUAGCUACAGGCUUAACACAUGCAAGUCGAGGGGCAGCAUGGUCUUAGCUUGCUAAGGCCGAUGGCGACCGGCGCACGGGUGAGUAACACGUAUCCAACCUGCCGUCUACUCUUGGACAGCCUUCUGAAAGGAAGAUUAAUACAAGAUGGCAUCAUGAGUCCGCAUGUUCACAUGAUUAAAGGUAUUCCGGUAGACGAUGGGGAUGCGUUCCAUUAGAUAGUAGGCGGGGUAACGGCCCACCUAGUCUUCGAUGGAUAGGGGUUCUGAGAGGAAGGUCCCCCACAUUGGAACUGAGACACGGUCCAAACUCCUACGGGAGGCAGCAGUGAGGAAUAUUGGUCAAUGGGCGAGAGCCUGAACCAGCCAAGUAGCGUGAAGGAUGACUGCCCUAUGGGUUGUAAACUUCUUUUAUAAAGGAAUAAAGUCGGGUAUGGAUACCCGUUUGCAUGUACUUUAUGAAUAAGGAUCGGCUAACUCCGUGCCAGCAGCCGCGGUAAUACGGAGGAUCCGAGCGUUAUCCGGAUUUAUUGGGUUUAAAGGGAGCGUAGAUGGAUGUUUAAGUCAGUUGUGAAAGUUUGCGGCUCAACCGUAAAAUUGCAGUUGAUACUGGAUAUCUUGAGUGCAGUUGAGGCAGGCGGAAUUCGUGGUGUAGCGGUGAAAUGCUUAGAUAUCACGAAGAACUCCGAUUGCGAAGGCAGCCUGCUAAGCUGCAACUGACAUUGAGGCUCGAAAGUGUGGGUAUCAAACAGGAUUAGAUACCCUGGUAGUCCACACGGUAAACGAUGAAUACUCGCUGUUUGCGAUAUACUGCAAGCGGCCAAGCGAAAGCGUUAAGUAUUCCACCUGGGGAGUACGCCGGCAACGGUGAAACUCAAAGGAAUUGACGGGGGCCCGCACAAGCGGAGGAACAUGUGGUUUAAUUCGAUGAUACGCGAGGAACCUUACCCGGGCUUAAAUUGCAGAUGAAUUACGGUGAAAGCCGUAAGCCGCAAGGCAUCUGUGAAGGUGCUGCAUGGUUGUCGUCAGCUCGUGCCGUGAGGUGUCGGCUUAAGUGCCAUAACGAGCGCAACCCUUGUUGUCAGUUACUAACAGGUUCCGCUGAGGACUCUGACAAGACUGCCAUCGUAAGAUGUGAGGAAGGUGGGGAUGACGUCAAAUCAGCACGGCCCUUACGUCCGGGGCUACACACGUGUUACAAUGGGGGGUACAGAGGGCCGCUACCACGCGAGUGGAUGCCAAUCCCAAAAACCUCUCUCAGUUCGGACUGGAGUCUGCAACCCGACUCCACGAAGCUGGAUUCGCUAGGAAUCGCGCAUCAGCCACGGCGCGGUGAAUACGCUCCAAGGGCUUGUACACACCGCCC